RNAcentral lists this ribosomal RNA (529 nucleotides) under Pseudomonas sp. CSeB0_40. RNAcentral's name for it is "bacterial SSU rRNA". It matches the Rfam family "Bacterial small subunit ribosomal RNA", at positions 57 to 582 of the family's 1533-position model. The record is from RNAcentral. Lineage: Bacteria; Pseudomonadati; Pseudomonadota; Gammaproteobacteria; Pseudomonadales; Pseudomonadaceae.
GCAGUCGAGCGGUAGAGAGGUGCUUGCACCUCUUGAGAGCGGCGGACGGGUGAGUAAUACCUAGGAAUCUGCCUGGUAGUGGGGGAUAACGUUCGGAAACGGACGCUAAUACCGCAUACGUCCUACGGGAGAAAGCAGGGGACCUUCGGGCCUUGCGCUAUCAGAUGAGCCUAGGUCGGAUUAGCUAGUUGGUGAGGUAAUGGCUCACCAAGGCUACGAUCCGUAACUGGUCUGAGAGGAUGAUCAGUCACACUGGAACUGAGACACGGUCCAGACUCCUACGGGAGGCAGCAGUGGGGAAUAUUGGACAAUGGGCGAAAGCCUGAUCCAGCCAUGCCGCGUGUGUGAAGAAGGUCUUCGGAUUGUAAAGCACUUUAAGUUGGGAGGAAGGGCAUUAACCUAAUACGUUAGUGCUUUGACGUUACCGACAGAAUAAGCACCGGCUAACUCUGUGCCAGCAGCCGCGGUAAUACAGAGGGUGGCAGCGUUAAUCGGAAUUACUGGGCGUAAAGCGCGCGUAGGUGGUUUG